This 209-nucleotide unclassified non-coding RNA is filed under the name Lecanoromycetes sp. Its description in RNAcentral is "partial contains small subunit ribosomal RNA, internal transcribed spacer 1, and 5.8S ribosomal RNA". The stretch from base 1 to 46 matches the Rfam family "Eukaryotic small subunit ribosomal RNA", at positions 1786 to 1831 of the family's 1831-position model. The record is from RNAcentral. Lineage: Eukaryota; Fungi; Ascomycota; Lecanoromycetes.
AAGUCGUAACAAGGUUUCCGUAGGUGAACCUGCGGAAGGAUCAUUAUCGGGAGUGCCCUCGUGGCUUAACCUGCAACCCUAUGUUUUUAAAACCCUUGUUUCUUUGGCGGGUUCGCCCGUCAGAAGAAUUCUCAAACUCGUUGUAAACGUGUCAUCUGAAUAACCAUAAAAAUAAAUUAAAACUUUCAACAACGGAUCUCUUGGUUCUG